AAGAGCAUGUCUCAUGCUUCAAACAACUAAGACAAUGUUUAACUUGAAAACUAAACACUCCACUAUCAGACUUCAGCUGCAAGCUACAAAUAACAGGGAUGCAAGCUAAGAAAAGAUAGAAACAAACGAGAGCCCUAGUUCACGAACAAAAUAUCAACUAAAACAACUAAAAUCAAAGACAUUUACCUUUGAGAGAGCAGCGAAACANNN
Molecule: long non-coding RNA, 210 nt
Filed under: Solanum tuberosum (potato)
Lineage: Eukaryota; Viridiplantae; Streptophyta; Magnoliopsida; Solanales; Solanaceae
Description: long non-coding RNA (STUB_LNC001149)
Source: RNAcentral